AACGAACGCUGGCGGCAGGCUUAACACAUGCAAGUCGAACGGGUGCAGCAAUGCAUCAGUGGCAGACGGGUGAGUAACACGUGGGAACCUUCCUAGGGGUACGGAACUACUCAGGGAAACUUGAGCUAAUACCGUAUACGUCCGUGAGGAGAAAGAUUUAUCGCCCUUAGACGGGCCCGCGUCGGAUUAGCUAGUUGGUGGGGUAACGGCCUACCAAGGCGACGAUCCGUAGCUGAUCUUAGAGGAUGAUCAGCCACACUGGGACUGAGACACGGCCCAGACUCCUACGGGAGGCAGCAGUGGGGAAUCUUGGACAAUGGGCGCAAGCCUGAUCCAGCCAUGCCGCGUGAGUGAAGAAGGUCUUCGGAUUGUAAAGCUCUUUUGCCAGGGACGAUAAUGACGGUACCUGGAGAAUAAGCCCCGGCAAACUUCGUGCCAGCAGCCGCAGUAA
This 451-nucleotide ribosomal RNA is filed under the name uncultured bacterium. RNAcentral describes it as "partial 16S ribosomal RNA". It matches the Rfam family "Bacterial small subunit ribosomal RNA", at positions 29 to 523 of the family's 1533-position model. The record is from RNAcentral.